RNAcentral lists this ribosomal RNA (502 nucleotides) under uncultured bacterium. RNAcentral's name for it is "partial 16S ribosomal RNA". It matches the Rfam family "Bacterial small subunit ribosomal RNA", at positions 28 to 507 of the family's 1533-position model. The record is from RNAcentral.
GACGAACGCUGGCGGCGUGCCUAAUACAUGCAAGUCGAACGAACCGCGACUGCGUGCUUGCACUUGGUCAAGGUGAGUGGCGAACGGGUGAGUAACACGUGGGUAACCUACCUCAUAGUGGGGGAUAACAGUCGGAAACGACUGCUAAUACCGCAUAGGACAUAGGAUCACAUGAUCCAGUGAGGAAAGGUGGCGCAAGCUAUCGCUAAGAGAUGGACCCGCGGUGCAUUAGCUAGUUGGUAGGGUAAAGGCCUACCAAGGCGAUGAUGCAUAGCCGACCUGAGAGGGUGAUCGGCCACAUUGGAACUGAGACACGGCCCAAACUCCUACGGGAGGCAGCAGUAGGGAAUCUUCCGCAAUGGACGCAAGUCUGACGGAGCAACGCCGCGUGAGUGCAGAAGGUCUUCGGAUCGUAAAGCUCUGUUGUUAGAGAAGAACAGCGCAUAGAGUAACUGCUAUGCGUGUGACGGUAUCUAACCAGAAAGCCACGGCUAACUACGUG